Molecule: ribosomal RNA, 433 nt
Filed under: uncultured bacterium
Lineage: Bacteria
Description: partial 16S ribosomal RNA
Rfam family: Bacterial small subunit ribosomal RNA
Source: RNAcentral
AACGAACGCUGGCGGCAUGCCUAACACAUGCAAGUCGAACGAGACCUUCGGGUCUAGUGGCGCACGGGUGCGUAACGCGUGGGAACCUGCCCUUAGGUUCGGAAUAACUCCCCGAAAGGGGUGCUAAUACCGGAUAAUGUCUUCGGACCAAAGAUUUAUCGCCUUUGGAUGGGCCCGCGUUGGAUUAGCUAGUUGGUAGGGUAAAAGCCUACCAAGGCGACGAUCCAUAGCUGGUCUGAGAGGAUGAUCAGCCACACUGGGACUGAGACACGGCCCAGACUCCUACGGGAGGCAGCAGUGGGGAAUAUUGGACAAUGGGCGAAAGCCUGAUCCAGCAAUGCCGCGUGAGUGAUGAGGGCCUUAGGGUUGUAAAGCUCUUUUACCCGGGAUGAUAAUGACAGUACCGGGAGAAUAAUCUCCGGCUAACUCCGUG